Long non-coding RNA from Salarias fasciatus (jewelled blenny), 655 nucleotides. RefSeq lists it as uncharacterized. The transcript has 2 exons. Lineage: Eukaryota; Metazoa; Chordata; Actinopteri; Blenniiformes; Blenniidae. The record is from RefSeq and is a predicted model, not a curated record.
UUCAUAAGAACAGGAAAUGCGUCUGUAGUCGCUGCUGAACAAAACCGCGUGUGAGCUGCGCUCGCGAAGGCAGCUGCGUCUGGAAAACUACCGCGGCUCACGAGGACGGCGACGGCGGCGCGAGACACGACCAAGUCGAACCAGUCGGACCGAUCGGACCAAUGGCAGCAUUCCUCAAGAUAAUCGGAUUGUCUGUUUUUGGGAUGGCACUGUACUUCGUUGCAGUCAUUUCUGAGCUGGCGGACCACAUCGGUGGCCUCAUGUACACCCCGGACCACCGCUACAUCAGAGAGGUGGCCCAUCAGACUGACAGGCAGCUCUCAUCGAGCAGCAACAAGCGACCGGCGGUGACUACAGAUCCGGGCUCGUGACGGCGCCGCGGUCAGACUGUUGGACUGACACACAGCGUGUUCAAACUGUGCCGUGGUCUGGACAUUUUUCCCGGAUUGCGUUUCCCCCUGCAAGAAGCCGGUUGCGACUUGCUGGGUACCUGCUGUCAUGUUGUGUCUUGAGCAGUUGGUUCCUGUUAAAACGAACUGUAGCAGCUAAAAAAAAACUAAAAUGUGACGACAAACAUGAAAGCACUACUGAACACUGAUUCUUGCACUAAAAGUGAACAGUUUUGUCAUUUUGUGAAUAAAACCCUGCAGAGCCA